UAGAGUUUGAUCAUGGCUCAGAUUGAACGCUGGCGGCAGGCCUAACACAUGCAAGUCGAGCGGAUGAGAGGAGCUUGCUCCUGGAUUCAGCGGCGGACGGGUGAGUAAUGCCUAGGAAUCUGCCUGGUAGUGGGGGACAACGUUUCGAAAGGAACGCUAAUACCGCAUACGUCCUACGGGAGAAAGCAGGGGACCUUCGGGCCUUGCGCUAUCAGAUGAGCCUAGGUCGGAUUAGCUAGUUGGUGAGGUAAUGGCUCACCAAGGCGACGAUCCGUAACUGGUCUGAGAGGAUGAUCAGUCACACUGGAACUGAGACACGGUCCAGACUCCUACGGGAGGCAGCAGUGGGGAAUAUUGGACAAUGGGCGAAAGCCUGAUCCAGCCAUGCCGCGUGUGUGAAGAAGGUCUUCGGAUUGUAAAGCACUUUAAGUUGGGAGGAAGGGCAGUAAAUUAAUACUUUGCUGUUUUGACGUUACCGACAGAAUAAGCACCGGCUAACUU
RNAcentral lists this ribosomal RNA (501 nucleotides) under Pseudomonas sp. 01WB04.4-35. RNAcentral describes it as "bacterial SSU rRNA". It matches the Rfam family "Bacterial small subunit ribosomal RNA", at positions 1 to 503 of the family's 1533-position model. The record is from RNAcentral. Lineage: Bacteria; Pseudomonadati; Pseudomonadota; Gammaproteobacteria; Pseudomonadales; Pseudomonadaceae.